RNAcentral lists this ribosomal RNA (573 nucleotides) under uncultured bacterium. RNAcentral's name for it is "bacterial SSU rRNA". It matches the Rfam family "Bacterial small subunit ribosomal RNA", at positions 57 to 627 of the family's 1533-position model. The record is from RNAcentral.
GCAAGUCGAACGGUAACAUUUCUAGCUUGCUAGAAGGUGACGAGUGGCGGACGGGUGAGUAAUGCUUGGGAACUUGCCUUUGCGAGGGGGAUAACAGUUGGAAACGACUGCUAAUACCGCAUAAUGUCUUCGGACCAAACGGGGCUUAGGCUCCGGCGCAAAGAGAGGCCCAAGUGAGAUUAGCUAGUUGGUAAGGUAACGGCUUACCAAGGCGACGAUCUCUAGCUGUUCUGAGAGGAAGAUCAGCCACACUGGGACUGAGACACGGCCCAGACCCCUACGGGAGGCAGCAGUGGGGAAUAUUGCACAAUGGGGGGAACCCUGAUGCAGCCAUGCCGCGUGUGUGAAGAAGGCCUUCGGGUUGUAAAGCACUUUCAGUUGUGAGGAAAAGUUAGUAGUUAAUACCUGCUAGCCGUGACGUUAACAACAGAAGAAGCACCGGCUAACUCCGUGCCAGCAGCCGCGGUAAUACGGAGGGUGCGAGCGUUAAUCGGAAUUACUGGGCGUAAAGCGCACGCAGGCGGUUUGUUAAGCUAGAUGUGAAAGCCCCGGGCUCAACCUGGGAUGGUCAUU